This 305-nucleotide ribosomal RNA is filed under the name uncultured bacterium. RNAcentral describes it as "bacterial SSU rRNA". It matches the Rfam family "Bacterial small subunit ribosomal RNA", at positions 337 to 638 of the family's 1533-position model. The record is from RNAcentral.
ACCUACGGGAGGCAGCAGUGAGGAAUAUUGGUCAAUGGGCGGGAGCCUGAACCAGCCAAGUCGCGUGAGGGAAGACGGUCCUAUGGAUCGUAAACCUCUUUUGUCGGGGAGCAAAGAGGCCACGUGUGGUCAAAAGCGAGAGUACCCGAAGAAAAAGCAUCGGCUAACUCCGUGCCAGCAGCCGCGGUAAUACGGAGGAUGCGAGCGUUAUCCGGAUUUAUUGGGUUUAAAGGGUGCGUAGGCGGUGCAGCAAGUCAGAAGUGAAAGCCCGGGGCUCAACUCCGGGACUGCUUUUGAAACUGUUG